CCCAGGGAAUCCACCCUGAGAAUACUUAACACGAGCCACACCAUCCAAAAGAAGGGCUUCUAUAAAGGUCUGGAAGCAUCUCUGAAAAUUUUACUUGCUUCCUUUUUUACUUACUUUCCUUCCUACUUUGCCAUCUCGGAAGACUGCCUCACAGCUGGAAAUCAGGAUAUUCCUGGGAGCUGAAUGGGAAAGAUCAUUUAUAUAUUCUUUUUUUUUUCUUCAAAUGUUGUACCACUCCAUAAUGGCAAGCCUGUUGAAGAUCCACAGCAAACAGAUAAAGUGAAGGAUUUAGUAGAAACUUGGAAGAGCAAGACUCUUUUUGCAUUAGACGGGAGGAUGCUGAGUACCUGGGAGAAGUGAAUUGAUGCCCCUGGAAAUCUGACCAGAAUAGUGCCCUAACAGAUUCUAACCCAGAAAAUCUGACUCCUUGAGACAUGGAUUUUUUGGCAACCAACCGCAUGCGCAUGGUCUUGGCUCAUCUGAAGACCCCUUGUUGAUUUUGCAUCUGGACAUAGUGGGCCAACAUUGUAUGAUGUACAAGGUGUCAGUAAAACCUGCAGGGGAUCCUUCGAUCAUAAGAAAAUAACAAGUCUCAUUGUUCCUGUGGGGGAGCAGACACAGAGACCCAAAGAUUUAACUCUUUCAAGUGAGUAAUAUCCUAAUUCGGAUUUUGCCUUGGGAGAUGAGCUUCCUUGAGCUACAUAUAAUCGAGUAAAAUUGUAUUAUCAGUAAAACCCCCUUCAGACCCUCAUCUCUUCUCUAUGAUAACAAGUAUAACUUUCUCCAUAAAGCACCUAUAUAAGGGUUAAGAUUAAGGUUGUCUUUGUAAUCCUUACAAAGUGUGUCUGUAUUAGCUUCUUUGAAGUUUCUUCUGAAUCACAGUUUUAAAAUAUUUAUGUUCUCAGAUCACCUUAGAAAGUAAUAUUCUGUGUGUUUUUGUUUGUUUGUUGCUUGUUUGUUUUACUCUAUGCCUACUAAUGUGCUGUGUACAAAAAACAAAUUGUUAUUGUAUUGGAACAAUUCUGUUUCCAUUGAUGAAGUUCCAGAGGGAGAUUUUAUGCAGAUUCAACUGUCCAGAGCCAUGCAAAAGCAUCGGGCUUUUUAAAAUGGUUUUUUAAAAAUUAAUUAAUUAAUUAAUUAAUUAAUUAAAGAUUUUAUUUAUUUAUUCAUGACAGACACAGAGAGAGGCAGAGACACAGGCAGAGGGAGAAGCAGACUCCAUGCAGGCAGCCCAAUGUGGGACUCGAUCCCUGGUCUCCAGGAUCACACCCUGGGCUGAACCCAGCCCAGCUAAUCUCAGCUAGACCACUGAGCCACCCAGGCUGCCCUAAAAUUAUUUUUUAAAAAGGCACUAUCUUUACGUAAUAAAACAACCUGAUAACAGUUUCCUAUAAGUAUAAAACACAAUGAUAUAUGAAACUUAUGCUAUUUUUAAACAUUUUUUUAUAUGCUUAGAAACAAAACAAAAAUGAUUGUAUACAAUGUUGCAGAAGAACUUCUCCCCCUUCCCCCCAUAAGUUUGGUGAGCUCUAACCAGGAAGCAGUUUACUGUGCUGUUUUGUAAAUUUAGGAAAGAGACUCUCACAUUCAUAUUUGUAUCUUCAAGAGGAAAUACCUGCAAUAUUGUAGAUGCUUAAUAAAUGCUCAUGAAAUAUACAAGUGAAUAAAUAUCUAGGUAUUAACAUACUGCUGAAUUUAGCACCAUUGAUCUAAGCACUUAAUGCUCUUACAAAUUGCAAGCAAUGCACCUAUUAAAAGAAUUUCCUCAUGUAUAUUUCUCCUGAAAUUAAAAAUAAAAAAUAUUUUAAAUUAUAUUUUCCAGUUUCUAGAUUAUACAGAACCUACUUCUUCAACCAGAUCAUAGCAAAGCAAAAUUGUCUAUAAUCAGUUCUCAUUUUGGAGAGAUACAAAAAUAAUAUCCAAGAUAAAUUGGGGGAAGAAAGAUGGCAUAAAAUGUGCUACAAGUUAGCUUGUGAUUUAAAAAAGAAAAUUGCUUUGUCAUAAGUCAGAAGCAUUUUAGCUUCUUUUAAAAAAUGAUUUGAAACAUUUUGACUAAUGUUAGAGUUUCCAGUGAUGAAGGAUAUCAUAAAUGUGCUAGUUUAGAUGAAAGAUAAAAAUAAAGUCAGAACCACAAGAUGAAUAAUUGGUAUCUAUAAUGUAUACUGACUUCUUGUUCUAAGCAUGUACAUGUAGGGUUAUCAAGGCAACUCAUUUGACCUAGAGGAGAUGGUGUUAUUUCUGGCAACUUCCUUUAUCCUGUUUGAAAGAACUAUUUUCUAUUACAUUAACAAUGUAAAACCAAAUAAAGAUUUAAAUUCUGAAAAAAAAAAAGAUUUAAAUUCUGUAAUCAAAGCCCAAAAUAAUGAUAACCGGAAGGUAAUUUAUGAAGAAUCAUUGUAAAUGGAUAUCUUUUUCUUCAAGAACAUGUGAACAAAAUGAGUGAGGAAAGAAGACGGAAGGAAAAGAAAUCUCUAAGUUAUAACCUCCAUAUGCUGAUAAAGGUUUAAUUAAUUUUUAGCACAAUCUGCUGUUUUUUUUUUUUUUUUUUUUUUUAAGUGUUGCUUCAAGUUAUAAUACCAAGCACUCUCCAGUUUUGGGCAACCUUCACCAUUCGCCUGGACCACAUUUUAACUUUUGGAAACUUAGUGGUUUAUGUUCAGUGUCAUGUUAAAACAGAUGCUUCUCUAACCUUCUCAAGUUGUGAGAGGGUUGUUGGUUGUUUCAGAAUACAAUAAAGAAAGAUGGGGGAAGAAUGAUUGUCAAGUUACUCUUCACCUCCAUCUAAAGCAGUGUUCUUCAUAUUGACUAAAUAUUGGAAUCGCUAAAGUUUUAAAUAUUAUUGGUGAUUGAGUAUCAUCCCCCAAAUUCUCAUUUAAUUGAGAUGGUUAUGACCUGGGCAUAGAAACCUUUCAAAAUUCUUUCAAAUAAUUCUAAUGUGCAACCCAUUUUGAGAACCAAUAACCCAAAGGAAGGAAGAAGAAAAAUGUACAAAAGGCUAACAGUUAAAAAGUUUUCUUUUUGAGGUGCCUGGCUGGCUCCAUUUGUAGAGCAUGUGACUCUUGAUCUCAGGGUCAUGAGUUCAAGCCCCACAUUGGGGGUAGAAUUUACUUUAAAAAAGCCAUUCAGUUAAAUUCUUUGGUUUUCCUUACAUUGGUGGAGACCAGAAUCUUUAAUUAUUAUGCUCAUUUUGAGUGUAAGGCAACAGAACUGCACUAAAAACAAUGUUUCAAUGUCUUAUUAAAAUGAUCUAUUCAGUUUUAUUUAAUUCAACUCAAUAAAAAGUGACUAACCUAUUAUGUACAAAGAACUGACCUAAUCUUGUAAGGACAUUCAAAGAUGAAUAAGAUCUGAUCCCCCUUCUCAAAUAGCAUAUAGACAAGAGAAAUGUUAGCUAAGUCAACUAGAGUCAGAUAUUUGUAAAUAAAUCGGACCUGGUAAAGGAGCUUAAUGGCUUCUUGAAUAGAAAAUGAAUAUCCUAUAAGUUCUGACACCAAAAUCACAAAAUCAAUCUUAAAAACAGCAUUAGCCCAUAGAUAUAUAGCACUAUGUCUGAUUAAGCCUAAGAAAGUGGAGAAAUGAGCCAUUAGCUGAUGAAUUAGAGCUAUUUGUUUUUUGCCAGAUUGGGAGGCUGAGAUGGUGUGUUGUUUCCAACCACAAAACUGAGAUAUGAAAUAAUUAGUCAAAAGUCUUAACAGUAUACUGGGCUUACCUGUGAAAGUGCUUCCUAGGUGCCAGGUAAAUUUUUUUCAAUUCAAAUGAAAAGUGUUAUUAUGCAUAAUCAAUUGAAUAAGUUGUUUUUAGAUUUGCCUUGAGUGCAUCAGAUGAGUGCUACCCAGUAAAAUGUGGAUCUCUAUCUUAGUACACAUUAUUUUAUGAUUUGUAAUGCAGAGAUUUAUAGUAUAUGUAUGUAUCUACAUGCAUGUUUAUGUGGCACAAGUUAGCUUGUUUAGUGACACUAUAUAUGGUGACAGAAAGCAAAUGAAUGGUCGUGUGGGUUCUGUGCAUGGAGUAUCAGAAUGCAGGAUUACAAAGGGGCAUUAAUAAACUUUUGGGGCAGAUGAUAUGUUUCUUUUCUUGACUAUGGUAAGCUAUCACAAGUAUAUACAUACUUCAAUUUAUAAUACACUUUGUUAUGUGCAGUUUAUUAUUAUCAUGAAAUGUGUCCUUCAUCUGACAAUAUGGAAAUAUUCUCUUACAUAGAGCUUUUACAUUUAAGAUCUUAAUCCAUUUGGGGGUAUGUUUCGUAUAUGAAUGGUGGGUUAAGGACAUAAUUUUAUUCUUUCACUUAAAAAUAAUGCUAUAGGGUGCUUGGGUGCUCAGUCAGUUAAGCACCCAACUUGAUUUCAGCGCAGGUCAUGAUCUCAAGGUUAUGAAAUCAAGCCCUGCAUGGUGCUCCAUGGUCAGCUGGGGGUCUGCUUGAGAUUCUCUCUCUCCCUCUUCCUCUCUCCCACCUGCAUAUGUGUGCACUCUCUCUCUCUCUAACAAUAAAUAAAUCUUUUAAAAACCCCAACAAUUCUAUUAGUCUUAGUUAAAAAACACUCAAACAAACAAACAAACAAACGUUUCCCCCAUCGAUUUGUCAUGCCCCCUCAAUCACAUAAUCUAGGUUCCACAUAUGCUUGUGUCUCGGUUCAUUUGACUGCUCUAUUUGCCUCUCUCUGAACCACAACCACACUCUCAC
This 4681-nucleotide long non-coding RNA is filed under the name Canis lupus familiaris (dog). RNAcentral describes it as "lncRNA (ENSCAFG00845005760.1)". Lineage: Eukaryota; Metazoa; Chordata; Mammalia; Carnivora; Canidae. The record is from RNAcentral.